UACGAACUGCGCAAACGUUAUUCGGAAUCACUGGGCUUAAAGGGUGCGUAGGCGGAUUUGUAGGUCAGAUGUGAAAUCCCACGGCUCAACCGUGGAACUGCGUUUGAAACCACAAGUCUUGAGGGGAUCAGAGGAGAGCGGAACUGAUGGUGGAGCGGUGAAAUGCGUUGAUAUCAUCAGGAACACCGGUGGCGAAAGCGGCUCUCUGGGAUCUUUCUGACGCUGAGGCACGAAAGCUAGGGGAGCGAACGGG
This 253-nucleotide ribosomal RNA is filed under the name uncultured bacterium. RNAcentral describes it as "partial 16S ribosomal RNA". It matches the Rfam family "Bacterial small subunit ribosomal RNA", at positions 524 to 776 of the family's 1533-position model. The record is from RNAcentral.